RNAcentral lists this small RNA (2332 nucleotides) under Caenorhabditis elegans. RNAcentral describes it as "Unclassified non-coding RNA Y60A3A.38". The record is from RNAcentral. Lineage: Eukaryota; Metazoa; Nematoda; Chromadorea; Rhabditida; Rhabditidae.
AAUGCGAUUUCUUUCCACAUAUCAAACGGGUGCUCGACGAUGUUGUACAAUGCUUUUCCAGAAAAAUGCCAAGUCAAUAAGAGCCACGUUGAUGAGCACAACGGCAGCGGCAGAGGAGUCACGAAAAAUAGUGAAAGAAGAGGUUUUUGAGGUAAAAAAUGUGAAAAAAAAGGAAAAAAGAGAAAAAAAGAGGAAAAAAAACGAAAAAAAAAGGAAAAAAGAGGAAAAAAGGAAAAAAGAGGAAAAAGAGGAAAAAGGAAAAAAAUGAGAAAAAAAGGAAAAGAAAAGAGAAUUUUUUUUAAAGAGAAAAAAAUGAAAAAAAAAACAAAAAAGAAAGAAAAAAGAAAAAAAAUCAUUUUUUUUUCAUUUUUUUUUCUUUCUUUUCAUUCUUUCUUCAUUUUUUUUUCCUUUUUUUUUCUUCUUUUUUUCACUUUUCGUUAUAAAUAUUCUCUUAGACGUAAAAAAUCGUGAAAAUUUAGAAUUUUUCUGUCUCAAAGUCCAAUUUUCAGCAAGGGAAAAAAACGGAAAAAAAUGAAAAAAGAAAAGAAAAGAGGAAAAAAAGGUAAAAAGAACGAAAAAAAAAUGAAAAUAGAAAAGAAAAGAGGAAAAUAACGAAAAAAAAAACAAAAAAAAUGAAAAAAAAUUUUUAAAAAAUGAAAAGAAAGAGAAAAAAAAAUGAAAAAAGGAAGAAAAAAAACGAAAAAAGAAAGAAAAAAAACAAAAAAGGAAGAAAAAAAUCAAAAAAGAAAGAACAAAACAAAAAAAAAUGAAAAGAAAGAGAAAAAAAAACGAAAAAAGAAAAGAAAAAAAUGAAAAAAAAUGAAAAGAAAGGGGAAAAAAAACGAAAAAAAAAAUGAAAAAAGGAAGAAAAAAAAAGAAAAUUUUCCUUUUUUUUUGCUUUUCCCCCAUUUUUCAUUCCAAAACCGCGAAAAUGUCCAAUUUUUUUUUCAGUUAGAUGGUCGAAAAUACACUCCAGACGCAUUAUACAACCUGUCACCAGGUGUUCGACGGCUUUUGGAUCGCCGUAUCCUCCAAGAAUCUUCGAAUCCGCUGAAUUUGUUGAAAAGAAGAAUUGUCGAUUAUGUACAUCAAACAUACAGAAAACCAGGUAAAAAAAAUACGUGAAAAUUGAAGAAAAAUCAAUGAAAUUUCAGAAAACUCGAUAAAUUUCCAGAAAAAUCGAUAAAUUUCCAGAAAAAUCAAUAAAUUUCAGAAAAAUCAAUAAAUUUUGUAAAAAAUUUUUUUCUCAAAUGUUAUUGAUUUUUCUGGAAAUUUAUUGAUUUUUCUGGAAAUUUAUUGAUUUUUCUGGAAAUUUAUUGAUUUUUCUGGAAUUUUCACCUUUUUUCCAGGAAAUCGCUCGCCACUCUUCACAAUUUGUGAAUCCGAGCCUCGUGUCGUCACUACUUAUCAGAAUUUCGACUCUUUACUGACACCGGAGGAUCAUGUGUCAAGGUUGGGAUAAAAAUGAGGAUUUUUUGCGGAAAAUUGGGUUUUGAGACUGAAAAAUUCGAGUUUUUCACGAUUUUUUACGUCUGAGAGAAUUUUUUUUUUCAAAAUGAACAAAGAAUGAAAAAAAAACGAAAAAAGAAUGAAAAAAAACGAAAAAAGAAUGAAAAAAGAAUAGAAGAAAUGAAAAAAAAAAAGAAAAAAGAAUGAAAAAAAAGAAAAAACAUGAAAAAAAAAGAAAAAUAGGAAAAAAUGAAAAAAGAAUAAAAAAGAUUGAAAAAAGAAUGAAAAAAAUGAUAAAAGAAUGAAAAAAGAAUGAAAAAGGAAUGAAAAAGGAAUGAAAAAAAAAGAAAAAAAAAUAUAACGAAAAAAAAACGAAAAAAGAAUGAAAAAAAAAACGAAAAAAGAAUUAAAAAAGAAUGGAAAUAAAAACGAAAAAAAAAUGAAAAAAGAAUGAAAUUUUUUUUUCUUUUUUCGUUUAUUUCUCUUUUUUUUGUUUUUUUUUUGCAUUUUUUUUCAUUCUUUUUUCAUUUUUUUUCGUUUUUUUUCCCUUUUUUUAAAAAUUUUUCUCCUUUUUUUUAACUUUGCAUCAUUUUUUCUAAUGAAAAUGAAAAAAAUAAAUAAAAUUGUAGUGAAAAAUCCGAAAUUACCAGUUUUAAAACCAAAUUUUAAGCCUAAAACGUCAAAUUUCAGUCCAAAAAUCGAAAAAAAAAUUUUAGACGUCCCUCAGAUACGUACUACGUGAACCAUGAGCACUGCUUGCGAGCCCAUACCUCGGCUCACCAGCACAAUUUAAUGCAAUCGGGUCUCGACGCGUUUUUAGUGAUUGGAGACGUCUAUCGGAGGGAUGAAGUCGAUCGGACACAUUAUCCAUGCUUCCAUCAGG